This is a long non-coding RNA of Pseudophryne corroboree (corroboree frog), 1242 nucleotides long. RefSeq lists it as uncharacterized. NCBI's taxonomy places the organism in Eukaryota, Metazoa, Chordata, Amphibia, Anura, Myobatrachidae. The record is from RefSeq and is a predicted model, not a curated record. The transcript has 3 exons.
AAACGAAAAACCACUGAAGGUUUGUAUGCUUGUUUCAAUGCUCCAGCUUUCAAUUCGCCGGCACUGGAAUCAUGCUUGUCAAACACAUGGAUCAUAUGGGAUGGCCGGUCACCGUGCUGAUGAACCGCAUUACUCUCUUGCUCAUAUAUAACAUCUCUCUCUGUUUGGGGAAGACUGAGAAACCGCCGAAUCAUUGAGAGAUUCUCCCACAGAGUCCUGUUUUCAGAAGUGGAACCUGCAAGAUCAUAUCUAACAAGCUGCCCCCAAUCAACUGAACCAACGUUAGGCUUAUCAUUAUGAUUUAGGAUGUAAACAUUUUUUUCAACUUCAGCUGAAACUUGUUAAAAAAACAAAAAAAAUUGUAUUUACAUUUUACAUGUUUCUAAUAAUCCAUAAACGCUUGGAAAGUGCAAAUGAUGACAUUUAUCUACAUCCUGUGGGAAAUGCCUAAUUAUAAAAAUUGAAAAUUGAAAAUGGUACAAUAAACUGCAUAAUUAUACAUACAUAUGCAAAAUAUAAAGUAUGUUAAAAGAUCAAUUUUGGAACUGUGAAAUGCAAAACAUAAAAAAAAAGAAUAUGAAAUACAUGGAAAAGCAGGUUGAGUAUCCCAUAUCCAAAUAUUCCGAAAUACGGAAUAUUCUGAAAUACGGACUUUUUUGAGUGAGACUGAGAUAGUGAAACCUUUGUUUUUUGAUGUCUCAAUGUACACAAACUUUGUUUAAUACUCAAAGCUAUUAAAAAUAUUGUUAAAUGACCUUCAGGCUGUGUAUAUAAGGUGUAUAUGAAACAUAAAUGAAUUGUGUGAAUGUACACAUACUUUGUUUAAUGCACAGAGUUAUAAAAAAUAUUGGCUAAAAUGACCUUCAGGCUGUGUAUAAGGUGUAUAUGUAACAUAAAUGCAUUCUGUGCUUAGAUUUAGGUCCCAUAACCAUAAUAUCUCAUUAUAGUAUGCAAUUAUUCCAAAAUACGGAAAAAUCCCCUAUCCAAAAUUCCUCUGGUCCCAAGCAUUUUGGAUAAGGGAGACUCAACCUGUACUUAUUAAAUAUAAAAUCUGUCCCUUAUAUCACUGAUGGUCAACUGUAUUUCUUGGAAUGGGUUUGUUGGGUUGACCCUAUUUAGGUCGACACUCAUUAGGUUGACCACUAUUGGUCGACAGGCAGUAGGUUGACACCUGGAAAAGGUCGACAUGGACAUCAGGUCGACAUGGAAAAGGGCUGACAUGAGUUUUUUUGGGGUGUUAUG